RNAcentral lists this ribosomal RNA (258 nucleotides) under uncultured bacterium. RNAcentral describes it as "partial 16S ribosomal RNA". It matches the Rfam family "Bacterial small subunit ribosomal RNA", at positions 75 to 334 of the family's 1533-position model. The record is from RNAcentral.
CUUGCUUUCUUUGCUGGCGACCGGCGCACGGGUGAGUAACACGUAUCCAACCUGCCCUUUACUCGGGGAUAACCUUUCGAAAGAAAGAUUAAUACCCGAUAGCAUAAUGAUUCCGCAUGGUUUCAUUAUUAAAGGAUUCCGGUAAAGGAUGGGGAUGCGUUCCAUUAGGUUGUUGGUGAGGUAACGGCCCACCAAGCCUUCGAUGGAUAGGGGUUCUGAGAGGAAGGUCCCCCACAUUGGAACUGAGACACGGUCCAA